ACCCAUGCAAAGUUUGCCAAAAAGUUGAAAUUUGACAUCUUGGUCCCCUGUGUACAAAAAAGUGGUCCCUUGUGAAGGACUUUCUGUACAAAUUCAACAAAACAUUCUCGUAAACGUUUACCACCUAUUGGUAAAUGAUUACACCACCCUUUUUCAAUGCUCUUGACUCAGGAUUUCAUCCAACUACUUUUAGUGAACACAAGACCUUUGAACAACACUAAAACAAUCUGUCAAGUUUAAUAUGUAACAACUAAAUGCUAACAUUAUUUCUCAAUUUCAAUAACAUUACUCAUUCAUUUAACUGUAAUACAAUGUGAAACAAGGAUAGUUCAAUGUAACAUCUGUCAACAAUAACAUUACAAUUGAAAUUACAAAACACAUAUGUCCAC
This 389-nucleotide long non-coding RNA is filed under the name Vigna radiata. RNAcentral's name for it is "long non-coding RNA (VRAD_LNC002195)". The record is from RNAcentral. Lineage: Eukaryota; Viridiplantae; Streptophyta; Magnoliopsida; Fabales; Fabaceae.